RNAcentral lists this long non-coding RNA (1537 nucleotides) under Phasianus colchicus (ring-necked pheasant). Its description in RNAcentral is "lncRNA (ENSPCLG00000015925.1)". The record is from RNAcentral. Lineage: Eukaryota; Metazoa; Chordata; Aves; Galliformes; Phasianidae.
GGGAGCCCGGGCGGGAAGGGGGGCCGCGAGACCCCCGCGNNNNNNNNNNNNNNNNNCCCCUCCUCCGGGCCCCGCUGAGCCGCGGGCCGGCGGCUCCCCUCCUUCCCGCCGUCUGCGGGGGGCUGCGACCCCCCCGAGAACAGCUGUCGGGGAGCGCCGCCCCCCCGCCGGAGCUCCGCCGGCCCCCCCCGAGCCGCGGUACCGAGGGCUGAGCGCCGCUCCCGGCCCGUAGCUGAGCGCCCGUGGGGCCGGGCUCGGUGCCGGCGCCCUCCUCGCUGCGCGGUGAGGAGCACGGGGGCGGUGGGGCUGCCGCGACCCCCGUGGGGCUCCGUGCUGGAUGUGGGGGUGACCGCCGCUCUGGCCCCGCAUCCCAGCCCGCGUGGGGCCGGGGCCGCUCCCGGUGCCCUCCUCGCCUCUGGGUGAAGAGCGGCGGCUGCUCGGAGCCCGCGGCCCUCUGAGAUGCCGUGACCCCAACGCUCCGCCGGGAGGGGCUCUGCAGGGUGCGGGGCCGGGGCCGGGCUGCUGCUCUGAGGGCACCUCACAGCUGUCACCACGCCCGUGCCCGCGCUCCCUUCCACGCCCGUGCCCGCGCUCCCUUCCACGCCCGUGCCCGCGCUCCCUCCACGCCCGCCGUUAUCUCACUGCUCUCCCAUGGAGGGUUCAGCCCCGCACCCCCCCAUGCUGUGCGUUCUGGGACGUUGGAUCCCCUCCCCCCGUAGGAUAGCCCCGUGCCCCCCUGGUUGCGGGGCUGAGCCGCUCCUGACGCUCUCUCUUCCCUCCCGUCCCCGCAGUUUUGCUCGGCUCUCCCUCCGCACCGCGGCGCUCCGCCCUCCCGCAUCUCGGUGCGGAGGGGCGCCGUGCGGGAGCGGCUCGACCCCUCCGUCCCCGCGGAGCCCCCCGUGCGUCGGGAGCGCGGCGCUGUGCGUGCGGAGCGCGUCGUGCAGCCGCGGUACGGCGGUGCCGAGCGCCUCCCGGGCGGACCUUCCCCCCGCACGGCCCGUCCGCCGCCCGCGGUUCCUUUGCUUCUAAAUCGGGAUCCGGCGCCGCAGGUGGGAAGGAACCUGCAGCUCCUCGGCGCUGGGAAGGAGGUCGCCGCAUCCUCGGUGCGUGUGGGGGAGGAUGGCCGGCACGGCUCUCCUGGCUGCUCUGCUCUGCUCCACUUUCUGCUUCCAGAGUGCCCAGAUGCAGGCUGUGCGGCUGUCCUGAGCUCUGUGUGCUGGGUGCCCUCUGCGUGUGUGUGCUGGGUGCCCUGUGUGCUCAGGGCUCUGUGUGCUGGGUGCUCUGUGUGCUCAGGUCCGUGCAGGUUGGGGCUGUGCAGCUGUCCUGAGCUCUGGGUGCUCCCUGCGUGCGUGUGCUGGGUGCCCUCUGUUUGCUCAGGGCAGUGCAGGUUGUUGGGGCUGUGCGGCUGCCCUGCGUGUGUGUGCUGGGUGCUCUCUGUGUGCUCAGGGCUGUGCAGGUUGUUGGGGCUGUGCGGCUGCCCUGCGUGUGUGUGCUGGGUGCCCUGCGUGUGCUCAGGGCUCUGUGUGCUGGGUGCUCU